This 318-nucleotide ribosomal RNA is filed under the name Salmonella enterica. RNAcentral's name for it is "partial 23S ribosomal RNA". It matches the Rfam family "Bacterial large subunit ribosomal RNA", at positions 343 to 666 of the family's 2925-position model. Lineage: Bacteria; Pseudomonadati; Pseudomonadota; Gammaproteobacteria; Enterobacterales; Enterobacteriaceae. The record is from RNAcentral.
UGGAAAGGCGCGCGAUACAGGGUGACAGCCCCGUACACAAAAGCGCAUGUGCUGUGAGCUCGAUGAGUAGGGCGGGACACGUGGUAUCCUGUCUGAAUAUGGGGGGACCAUCCUCCAAGGCUAAAUACUCCUGACUGACCGAUAGUGAACCAGUACCGUGAGGGAAAGGCGAAAAGAACCCCGGCGAGGGGAGUGAAAAAGAACCUGAAACCGUGUACGUACAAGCAGUGGGAGCACCCUUUGGGGUGUGACUGCGUACCUUUUGUAUAAUGGGUCAGCGACUUAUAUUCUGUAGCAAGGUUAACCGAAUAGGGGAGC